CACAGAGAGCUUGCUCUCGGGUGACGAGCGGCGGACGGGUGAGUAAUGUCUGGGAAACUGCCUGAUGGAGGGGGAUAACUACUGGAAACGGUAGCUAAUACCGCAUAACGUCGCAAGACCAAAGUGGGGGACCUUCGGGCCUCAUGCCAUCAGAUGUGCCCAGAUGGGAUUAGCUAGUAGGUGGGGUAAUGGCUCACCUAGGCGACGAUCCCUAGCUGGUCUGAGAGGAUGACCAGCCACACUGGAACUGAGACACGGUCCAGACUCCUACGGGAGGCAGCAGUGGGGAAUAUUGCACAAUGGGCGCAAGCCUGAUGCAGCCAUGCCGCGUGUAUGAAGAAGGCCUUCGGGUUGUAAAGUACUUUCAGCGAGGAGGAAGGCGUUAAGGUUAAUAACCUUGGCGAUUGACGUUACUCGCAGAAGAAGCACCGGCUAACUCCGUGCCAGCAGCCGCGGUAAUACGGAGGGUGCAAGCGUUAAUCGGAAUUACUGGGCGUAAAGCGCACGCAGGCGGUCUGUCAAGUCGGAUGUGAAAUCCCCGGGCUCAACCUGGGAACUGCAUUCGAAACUGGCAGGCUAGAGUCUUGUAGAGGGGGGUAGAAUUCCAGGUGUAGCGGUGAAAUGCGUAGAGAUCUGGAGGAAUACCGGUGGCGAAGGCGGCCCCCUGGACAAAGACUGACGCUCAGGUGCGAAAGCGUGGGGAGCAAACAGGAUUAGAUACCCUGGUAGUCCACGCCGUAAACGAUGUCGACUUGGAGGUUGUGCCCUUGAGGCGUGGCUUCCGGAGCUAACGCGUUAAGUCGACCGCCUGGGGAGUACGGCCGCAAGGUUAAAACUCAAAUGAAUUGACGGGGGCCCGCACAAGCGGUGGAGCAUGUGGUUUAAUUCGAUGCAACGCGAAGAACCUUACCUACUCUUGACAUCCAGAGAACUUAGCAGAGAUGCUUUGGUGCCUUCGGGAACUCUGAGACAGGUGCUGCAUGGCUGUCGUCAGCUCGUGUUGUGAAAUGUUGGGUUAAGUCCCGCAACGAGCGCAACCCUUAUCCUUUGUUGCCAGCGGUCCGGCCGGGAACUCAAAGGAGACUGCCAGUGAUAAACUGGAGGAAGGUGGGGAUGACGUCAAGUCAUCAUGGCCCUUACGAGUAGGGCUACACACGUGCUACAAUGGCAUAUACAAAGAGAAGCGACCUCGCGAGAGCAAGCGGACCUCAUAAAGUAUGUCGUAGUCCGGAUUGGAGUCUGCAACUCGACUCCAUGAAGUCGGAAUCGCUAGUAAUCGUAGAUCAGAAUGCUACGGUGAAUACGUUCCCGGGCCUUGUACACACCGCCCGUCACACCAUGGGAGUGGGUUGCAAAAGAAGUAGGUAGCUUAACCUUCGGGAGGGCGCUUACCACUUUGUGAUUCAUGACUGGGGUGAAGUCGUAACAAGGUAACCGUAGGGGAACCUGCGGUUGGAUCACCUCCUUA
This 1468-nucleotide ribosomal RNA is filed under the name Klebsiella aerogenes. RNAcentral describes it as "bacterial SSU rRNA". It matches the Rfam family "Bacterial small subunit ribosomal RNA". The record is from RNAcentral. Lineage: Bacteria; Pseudomonadati; Pseudomonadota; Gammaproteobacteria; Enterobacterales; Enterobacteriaceae.